GAACUGAGACACGGUCCAGACUCUACGGGAGGCAGCAGUGGGGAAUAUUGCGCAAUGGGGGGAAACCCUGACGCAGCCAUGCCGCGUGAAUGAAGAAGGCCUUCGGGUUGUAAAGUUCUUUCGGUAAUGAGGAAGGGAUGUUGUUAAAUAGAUAGCAUCAUUGACGUUAAUUACAGAAGAAGCACCGGCUAACUCCGUGCCAGCAGCCGCGGUAAUACGGAGGGUGCGAGCGUUAAUCGGAAUAACUGGGCGUAAAGGGCACGCAGGCGGACUUUUAAGUGAGAUGUGAAAUCCCCGAGCUUAACUUGGGAACUGCAUUUCAGACUGGGAGUCUAGAGUACUUUAGGGAGGGGUAGAAUUCCACGUGUAGCGGUGAAAUGCGUAGAGAUGUGGAGGAAUACCGAAGGCGAAGGCAGCCCCUUGGGAAUGUACUGACGCUCAUGUGCGAAAGCGUGGGGAGCAAACAGGAUUAGAUACCCUGGUAGUCCACGCUGUAAACGCUGUCGAUUUGGGGAUUGGGCUAUAUGCUUGGUGCCCGAAGCUAACGUGAUAAAUCGACCGCCUGGGGAGUACGGCCGCAAGGUUAAAACUCAAAUGAAUUGACGGGGGCCCGCACAAGCGGUGGAGCAUGUGGUUUAAUUCGAUGCAACGCGAAGAACCUUACCUACUCUUGACAUCCUAAGAAGAGCUCAGAGAUGAGCUUGUGCCUUCGGGAACUUAGAGACAGGUGCUGCAUGGCUGUCGUCAGCUCGUGUUGUGAAAUGUUGGGUUAAGUCCCGCAACGAGCGCAACCCUUAUCCUUUGUUGCCAGCGAUUCGGUCGGGAACUCAAAGGAGACUGCCAGUGACAA
RNAcentral lists this ribosomal RNA (850 nucleotides) under Pasteurella sp. RNAcentral describes it as "bacterial SSU rRNA". It matches the Rfam family "Bacterial small subunit ribosomal RNA", at positions 316 to 1161 of the family's 1533-position model. The record is from RNAcentral. Lineage: Bacteria; Pseudomonadati; Pseudomonadota; Gammaproteobacteria; Pasteurellales; Pasteurellaceae.